GACGAACGCUGGCGGCGUGCUUAACACAUGCCAGUCGAACGGAAAGGCCCUGCUUUUGUGGGGUGCUCGAGUGGCGAACGGGUGAGUAACACGUGAGUAACCUGCCCUUGACUUUGGGAUAACUUCAGGAAACUGGGGCUAAUACCGGAUAGGAGCUCCUUCUGCAUGGUGGGGGUUGGAAAGUUUCGGCGGUUGGGGAUGGACUCGCGGCUUAUCAGCUUGUUGGUGGGGUAGUGGCUUACCAAGGCUUUGACGGGUAGCCGGCCUGAGAGGGUGACCGGCCACAUUGGGACUGAGAUACGGCCCAGACUCCUACGGGAGGCAGCAGUGGGGAAUAUUGCACAAUGGGCGGAAGCCUGAUGCAGCAACGCCGCGUGCGGGAUGACGGCCUUCGGGUUGUAAACCGCUUUCGCCUGUGACGAAGCGUGAGUGACGGUAAUGGGUAAAGAAGCACCGGCUAACUACGUG
This 468-nucleotide ribosomal RNA is filed under the name uncultured bacterium. Its description in RNAcentral is "partial 16S ribosomal RNA". It matches the Rfam family "Bacterial small subunit ribosomal RNA", at positions 28 to 507 of the family's 1533-position model. The record is from RNAcentral.